Long non-coding RNA from Mercenaria mercenaria, 172 nucleotides. RefSeq lists it as uncharacterized. Lineage: Eukaryota; Metazoa; Mollusca; Bivalvia; Venerida; Veneridae. The record is from RefSeq and is a predicted model, not a curated record. The transcript has 3 exons.
AGAAACAAGAAAAUGUGGCCACACACGGUGCUAACGAUGAUACGCUAGAGGCAAAGAAACAAGAAAAUGCGGCCACGCACGGUGCGAACGAAAAUACGCCAGAGGCAAAGAAACAAGAAGAUGCGGUCACAAACAGUGCGAACGACAAUGAUACGCCAGAGGCAAAGGCGAG